Molecule: ribosomal RNA, 551 nt
Filed under: Tyrannochthonius sp. 3543
Lineage: Eukaryota; Metazoa; Arthropoda; Arachnida; Pseudoscorpiones; Chthoniidae
Description: partial large subunit ribosomal RNA
Source: RNAcentral
UUUUCGGGAACGGGGAAAKGUAGCGYUUGGGAWGARAUMUUAGAGGCGCGUCGAGGAAGGCCCAAGUCCCCUUUGAACGGGGCGCCGGAGCGGGUGCAAGUCCCGUACGGUCUUCUACCUCGUUGUCUCGCGGUCUUUAUCCCCGGAGUCGGGUUGCUUGAAAGUGCAGCCCAARGUGGGUGGUAUGCUCCACCUAAGGCUAAAUAUUCCCGAGAGACCGAUAGCAAAUAAGUACCGUGAGGGAAAGUUGAAAAGAACUUUGAAGAGAGAGUUCAACAGUACGUGAAACCGCUUAGAGGUAAACGGGUGGGCCCACGAAGUCUGAAGGGCGAGCGCGGCUCAGUUUUCCGGGUUUAACCCGGAAACACGCACUCCUUGCGCUCGCCCCGUAAGCGGCCGCGACUGGUUGGUCGAAGAUCGGAAAGACCCGUGGUGUGGCAAGUGGAAUCCCCUCGCGGGCCUCCGGCCUYCUACCGCGGGGUGAGUCGAUCCUCGCACCKWMCCMSUYMCRGAGAGAGAUCCUYGAMCGGCGUUCCCAYCGAACGGAGGGU